Molecule: long non-coding RNA, 2520 nt
Organism: Mya arenaria
Lineage: Eukaryota; Metazoa; Mollusca; Bivalvia; Myida; Myidae
Exons: 3
Source: RefSeq, a predicted model, not a curated record
UUAAAUGUGCUUGCUUAAGAGAAAAUAUUUGUUGUAACAUCAAAGAAUGUUCGUUUUUUGAAUAUUAAGAUGUUUUCUUAUACCUGAAGCACUCUGUUCCCUCUAGAAAAAUCAUAAACACACAGAAAAUGUACUUGACAGUAAUUGAAAUGAUCAUACGGUUCAUGGCAUGCAUGAAUCAUUACAUCGGAUUAAAAACAUGCAUGUCUCGUUCUGCUUCUUCUAAAAACGUCGCCAAGAUAGCGUCAUGUUGAAGCCGGGCUUGUGCGAGUUGUUGCUGCAGCAUGGCCAAUCUCAGAUGUCGCGGUGCCAAAGCCAUUGUGGUUGAUUGACCAUGCUAGAUCAAGAAGUUCCUAGCCGAAUAAGACUGUUGGUAUUGUUUACAUCAUUUGAACAAAGCUGGAAUGGCUGCCUGACCUGACUCAGUAAUCCGAUGGCGAUACAUCGCACUAGAAAAUAGUAUUGAGAUGGACAAAAUGACAAAGCGCAGCCUAGUCAGGACAGAAAACCCGAGCCUACUGAAGCUGACAGAUUGUACAAGAAAUAUAUGAAUGCAGUCUGCAGUUGUUGCAGUGAAAUUUGCACCAGUGUGUUUUAUGCAGUGGAGAUCAAGAGAUAGUUCCCAGCGAUGAUGAGGAACCAAUUCCUGAUCUGACAUUGUGGGCCGAUAUGCAAUAACUGUGUGGCGAAUGGGAAAAAAACUGCUGUCUGGAUUGCGCUUAAAUCAACAAAAGAAAAGAGUGAAAUUAAACUUGAAUAACUUGAAUGAUGUAAUAACAUUUCUUUCGUAUGACAUUUAUUCAUUGUACAGUGAAAACAUGCUUAUGUUCUUAUGAUUAUAUUAAUUUAAAAUUUGUACGAUAAAAAGCAACACUGUAAAGUUUAUUGUCAGAUCAAAACACAUGCACAUGCAUGUUAAAAUAUCAAUAUAGUAUGACAUGUUGUAUAUUGUGAAAGUUAUUUAACAGAAUUAACAAAACAUAUUUAUAUAAGCAUUUAUUCAAUUUCAAAAUCAUGUGUUUUUAUACUCUCACAACAUAUGUGUGCAUAUAGAUAUGCCCUUGUCCGUCCGUGCGUGUGGGGGUCAGUGUUUGAUUCCAUACCAACCUGUGUCGCCUAAAAUUCCAAAACUAUUUCACCUAGAGUCAAGAAUCUUUGGUGGAAUAUUAUUAAGGUGAUGAAGUUUUGCGCCUAGGGUUUCGUUUCCCGCUUCUAUACGUAAAACAAUAGUUAUGGCCAUUGAAUUAGCAAUAAUUGGCAUUUCUAGACUCGUGUCGAUAAAAACUACAAAACUGUAUUAUUUAGGGUUAUAGGGGAAUGUCAAAGGGAUAAUGCAAUUAUGUACCUUGGGGUUUGUUUGGCGCUGUACUCGGUAAAACCAGAAUUAUGGCCCUUUAUAAAACUUUGCAUUUCUGGACUUGUGUCGGUCAAAAGUCCAAAUCUGUAUUACCUAGUCAUAAAACUAGAAUGUUAUUGGGGUGUUGUAUUUUUGCACCUGUGUUUUCGUUUCCCGCUGCACUUAGAAAACAAUAACAGUAAUAUUGCCGUUAAAUUAGAAAAAAAGGCAUUUCUGGAUUUGUGUCGGUCAAAUCUCCAAAACUAUAUGACCGGGAUUUAUAAAAGCUUGAGGGAACGAUGUUGGAGUGAUGAAGUUGUGCACCUGGGUUUUAGUUUCACACUGUACUUUGUAAGACCAGAGUUAUGACCCUUGAAUUAGCAAAAUUGGUAUUUCUGGAUUUGAGUUGUUCAAAACAAAAACAAAACACUAUUACCUAGAGUCAUGAAACUCGAAGGAAUUUUAAUGGUGUGAUGAAAUUGUGCACCUGGAGUUUUGUUUGCCUCUGCACAUAGUAUAUCCAGCGUAAUGGCCAUUGCAAAAGCAAAACUUGGCAUUUUUAACUUGUUGUACUUGUGUCACUCAUACAUUCAAAUGUUUUAGUCAUACACUCAUGAUAUCUUUCAGGAAGGUAUUUGAUGUUAUUAAGUUGGGGAACUCAUUAUUUUGAUGCACAUUUAUGGCGAAUGGACAAAAUAAUGGUCCAUGUCUUUGUGACACACGCGGCACAUGGGGGCAUCCGUUUGCUUACUUUCCGACUUUGGAAUUUUGAGAAUUGUCAUCAACAUUAUGAUAAAUACAAGUAUUGUUUAAAGUGGACUAAAUUGUCUGGGUUUUUUGGUCAAUUCCCACAUCCAAUCCGAAAAUUUGGAAAAAAGUUAACCAACAAAUUAAUAAACAAAGCAAAUGCCCAAUGAUGGGAAUAUAGUAGUCAUUAUUUUUUGCAGUCUUAAAAUAGCAUAUACAACUUGUAGGCAUGGUUCCAUAGUUUCCAUAUGGCUUAAUAUACCUGACUGUAAGUCAAUAAUAUGAACUUGUCCAGGUAUUUUCUUAUAGUUCUGUAUUACCCUAAUGACAUGCCACGCGAUACUCAAACAAUAUCAAAAAGAACGUUGCAGGUUUGAAGUUAAGAACAUGUUUUGUCUGACAUGCAUAUUUAUUUGCACUUUUAUUAUAUGUGAAAU